Long non-coding RNA from Gossypium arboreum, 543 nucleotides. RefSeq lists it as uncharacterized. The record is from RefSeq and is a predicted model, not a curated record. The transcript is spliced from 3 exons. Lineage: Eukaryota; Viridiplantae; Streptophyta; Magnoliopsida; Malvales; Malvaceae.
AAUGGGUUAGGUAAAUGUUUCAUGAUAAGAAUUUCAUGUCUUUUGUAUUAAAGAAUUAAAUGGAUGAAAUAUGAAGUUUUAUUAAAAGAAAAAGGGGUGAAAAGAACAAAGUUUUGUCCAUCUUUGUUCAUCAUAACUGAAAGUUAGAGAAGAGAAAGGAGAGGAGAAAGCUCUUGAGUUUUCGGUCAUUAGGGGGAGGAAAAUUGAAGGCGGUUCGUGUGUGGAUCUCGUCAGCAUGUCGUCGCAAACAGGAAAUCCCCAACCAUAGUGGGCUUGGAGUUGUGAGGGAAUUCGGAGUGGCCACCCGUUCUGAAAGUUUGAUUUUCUUCUGGUGAACUGGACAUCCUUUUAUUUACAUUUGAAGUUUUUGGGCUUUUAAAUGUAAUAAGGCCGCUUAAUUAUUUUUGAUGGUUUUAAUAUGUAUUACUAAGAUAGGUAAUACUUAUAUUUAACUGUUGAAACUGGAUAGCUUUAGGGCGCGUUUUCAAAAACAACAGUUGAUUUCAAAAUAACACGACAACAAGCAAAGCUUCCGCAAUGAAA